AAUGUUGGCACAGGAGAAAGCUGCAGAUCACAUGAACACCACUUUCAGUAGCACCAUCAAUUUACCUGGGAGCAUUUCACAUCCAAAUACUGGCCAAAGGCAUAUUUAGACUUCAUGACAAAAUGAGGGGUAAAAAAAACAGUCCCAUCAAUACAAUUAAUGUAUAUUUAGGAAAAGUUCAGCUGUCCAUCUAGUUUCUGGUAGUUUAUUUAUGACUUACUAGUUUACCCAGAUUCAAGGGAGAAAAAAAAAAAAAAAAAUCAAGAAUGUAAUUCUAUUUCUCUUUAUUUAGGCUUUAAGUGUCCUUCUCCUUCUCCCCCACCACCCCAAGCCCCUCUUGACAGUACAAACAUUUAGUACAUCAGUUGCAGAAUCAGGAAGAGAUAGAUAAUUGAAUAUUCACACAUGCAGAAUUAACACAGGCAGCAUGUGGAAAAUGUGGAAACAAGCGCGAAAAGAGGCGGCAUCUGUUUACUGGAAAUUAGAAUGUAGAAUAAAUUAAGGGAAGGUUAAAACACUUCAUCUGCAGUAAGAGUUUGGAGGGAAGAAGACCUUGCAAGAACUCUGGAACGUAGAUUACAUAAAUGGCUUAAACAAUUUUGUUUCAAGGAAAGUAACUCUGUUUCUAAAUAAAACAUUUUUUAUGAGAGGAGCAGAAAUGGUGUCAAUAUACAAUGACAUUUUCAAUAAGAUGAUCAGAGCUACAAUAGUUUGUGAUAUAAGAACUCAAAGGAUUAAAACUGUACUUCUGGGGUUUUGUAAAAUACGUUGUAAUACAUGAAGAAAUGAAAAUACAAAGUUCUUCUGCAGGAGCUUUGCUCAUGUAAAGCAGUAUAUAGCAACAUCCCACCGACUGCAGAAAAUGGAAGUUUCAUCAAAACAAGAUUAUGUAUCCUGUCUUCUGUAAUUCCUUAAUGAAUUUAAGGAAAUGUCGUUUCAUUUUCUAAUAAAAUAAUGUUAUGCAUCUUUAAGAGACAUGUGUAUGAAUAAUAACAACUGAAGCAUAAACUUACAAUGUGCGAGUUUCAUUUACAGGACUUCCUGUGAAAGGUUUUCAUGAUACCCAGAAUUCAAUAUGAAAGCCAGGACCAAGAUGAUGAUUUCAUGUUAAACUUUCCAUUGAAGUGGAUGAGAGGGAAAUCAAUUUGCAAUUGGCAAAUAUGAGGUAUUAAUUUGAUAAAAGGAUAAAUAAUAUAGUGUCAUUCUGUAGAGAUAUAAAAGGUUGUUCUUUUCCAGGCACUGUCUGUGGGAAGAAUAUGUUGGACAUAUAGUUAUGACAAUCUAACAAAUAUAGUUAUUAAGUCUCAGCCCUAAAACUUGUUUUAUGAGAGCUCUGGGCAGGAAAGAAAACUACAGAUCAGGAUACAGGAUCACAGCCUUGGAUAAAUGUUGUUUUUUACUCAUGCAACAGAACAAUUCCAUCCCCCUUUUUUGGGGGGGGGGUCUAAUAAAUUUAUGACAAAAGUCAUCUCCUAGCCACAUGUUUCCAUCUCUUCUAAAAUAAUUUCUCAGUUCUGCUAUGAUGUAUUGACCCAGUUCUGGAUUUUUCAUUUUCAGCUCCUAGUAUACUUUUUUAACUAUUGAUACCAGACAGACUGAUUACACCCAUUUUAAAAAACAGAGAUAACUAUUUAAAUAAUAAAUUAUACACUAAACUGAAAUUUUUUUUAGAGGUUACAGAAGAGGGAGAGAGCUGGGGGGAAGAACUGCAGUAAUAUCUAUUAUCUAUUUCCUGAGGGGAGAAGUCCCAUUUAGAAGGACAGUUAUGGAAGUUUUCAUAAAUGACCAUUAAAAAGUUAUGUAUGUUGUUGGUAGCUCAAGUUUGGUAUAAUUACAAAUACUGUGCAAAGCCUUACUGUUCUGCAUGUGUCUGUUUCUUCAUGCUAGCAUAAAAUGGUAAAAUUUUCUAUCUAAUGAGAGGUCUCAUUAACUUUAUAUUAUGAAAUAUAGUAUCUUCUCACCUUAAUUUCUUUUCCAUGAAAAUGGAAGUGAGGCAUACAUUUAAAAUACAUUACUCCUGCUCUCAAUAACAAAUUGACAUAUUUACAAUUUUUUGAUGAGUGUUGAACAGUGCUCUUUUCCUUCCCCUUUUAAAGUAAGUUAUUUGGUUUCAAAACAAAAUAAAAUUCUACUUUUCCUUGUGGUGCCUAGGAUUCACGUUCCAUAGCACAGUCAGGAUAGAGAGAGGCAAUUAGUGACCUUUUUAAAGUUCUCAAUGUUACGCAUUUCAGAGAGAAAACAAGGUGAACACGCAGUCCAGAACUAUAUUAACUGUACCAUAGCAGACGUUAAAAUAGAAAGAUGUGUACAUGAGGCCUUUGUAAUACUGACAGCAGCACUUCUGCCAAUUUUCUUCCUCUCCUCCCCUCUCCCAAAGAAAAAGGGAUGGUGAAAACUUUUAAUGAGCCACUGUGGCAGUCCUGAUAACUUUUAAGCAGAGAUUUAAUAUUUUAUCAAAAUUCCAGUGAAACAUGGCAGUGGUGAUUACAAUCAUCUCUGUGCGGGUGGUGGUCAAUUAUAUCAUAAAUGCCUUAGUUGCCACUAUUGCUCUCAUAAAGUGAGCUGGACAAAGCUUAGGAGUACAUUACAAAAAUCUUUCUGAAUUCCAUCAGCAACCCUGGCUACAAUCUGACUCUCAGGAUUUUCUUCUUCUUGAUUAUGGAAAUAAGUUACAAAUGAUAUAAAAGUCCAACCCCUGACGGAAAAUUACUUGAGCAGUAUAACAUGCAAUACAGAGAACUUUUCUCUCCCUUAUACACUUUGGAUUUGCAGUGCUGUUAAUGGGGAAGCGUGGUUCCACUAGAGGACUGCAAAGGGGUAAACCAUGGUAAAAAAACACAAAGGUGGCAUUGAGGAUUAAAGCCUAGCUUUACCAAGUGGUAAUGGGUGUCUAACUGCCACCUAGGAGCCUCAUUUCAAUGUUUGGGCAUCAAUGAGAUCCUCUUCAGUUACCAUCAAGUCCCUUAAGUUUCUGUUGCUAGCUCCAGGCACAACCACUCAGGUUUUCAGAGAACACCCACCAGAUUGAACCUUGCACGACAGACAGGAAUGAGACAUUUUGGGGCAGGGUGGGGUGAAGUCUAUCCCAAAGCUCAAUGGUUACAGUGUCUUUAUCUAGGAGAGGAGAGGCCUGUUUUUAAAAUCACAAUUCUGCCUAAUUUGGAGCUAGGACUUGGACCUACAUCUCACUUCGCAGGAAAAGGACCAAACUAUCAAGCUGUUAGAUAUGUUGGAGUGAACAUCACUUAAGAAUAUCUGUAGUCUGGUGGUUAAGACAUUUUUUGGGUGGUGGAAGAUGUGGGUUUGAAUUCUCUCAGGCUGCAGCAGGAAUUGAAACUAGGUUUCCCUCAUCCUGGGAAGUAUGGUCCAAUCACUAAAGACUUAUGCCCCAUUCCUCUUUUCAUCAUUGGCUAGCUCCAUGCUUAGGGUUUUAUAGAUCUCAAUCUUAGGCUCCUACCUAUCCCCAUGCACUAUGCAGGGAGCCCGCGUUCCUCACUCAAGUAUUUCAGAAGGGGGGUAGGUUAAAAAUUGUCCUACUCACUGCUGUGACACCUAAGGGGCCAGCUCUGGAAGUUUUUAAGGUAAAGCACUAACAAGGAUCUUCAGUCCAUUAAAGCCAGGACACUGGGGCUGGUAGGUAAGUAUGACAGAUGUGGUCCAUUGCUCCCACUCAGAGAGUUAUGGCUCAUCUGAUUCACCAAACACACAGGCCAGGCUGGCCCACAAUCAAGGGGACUGUGAGGGUAACUGCAGAGAGUUCCCAUAAACACCUCUUCCAUGUACUGUCUAGCUUGCUUGGGAUCUCUGUUGCUCAUAGCUCCAUGUGCAGGUGAUUAACAGCUUUCAAGCUGUUCAACAGGCUUUUUGCUAUUGAAAUAUUUUGGUGGAAUAUCUUGACCCUGCAUAAUACUCUAUAAGCCUUGUUGUCAUUCAUAUUAUCAAAACUCAGUCACAUCUCCACCUGCCUAUACCAAAUUAUUA
Long non-coding RNA from Gavialis gangeticus (Gharial), 3981 nucleotides. RefSeq lists it as uncharacterized. The record is from RefSeq and is a predicted model, not a curated record. NCBI's taxonomy places the organism in Eukaryota, Metazoa, Chordata, Crocodylia, Gavialidae. The transcript has 2 exons.